CUUAGAUAGCUUAAAUAAAGCGUCGGUCUUGUAAACCGAAAAUGGGGAAUAACCCCCCCUCCAAGU
RNAcentral lists this transfer RNA (66 nucleotides) under Hynobius formosanus (Formosan salamander). RNAcentral describes it as "tRNA-Thr". It matches the Rfam family "tRNA". Rfam says of the family: Transfer RNA (tRNA) molecules are approximately 80 nucleotides in length. Their secondary structure includes four short double-helical elements and three loops (D, anti-codon, and T loops). Lineage: Eukaryota; Metazoa; Chordata; Amphibia; Caudata; Hynobiidae. The record is from RNAcentral.